CGGAUAAGAAAUACUAAUUGGAAAAUGGUUUUUCUUAAAGGCAACGCCUAAGGAUGAGUCGGCGGCGGAUUAGGUAGUUGGUGGUGUAAAGGACCACCAAGCCAAUGAUCCGUAGGGGCCUUGAAAGAGGUAGCCUCGAGAAGGGCACUGAGACACUGGCCCUAGCCCUACGGGGUGCAGCAGGCGCGAAAACUUUCCAAUGUACGUAAGUGUGAGAAGGGAAUCCAGAGUGCUCAAGUUUUUACUUGGGCUUUUGCCAAAUGUAAAUAGUUUGGCGAAUAAGUGGUGGGUAAGACGGGUGCCAGCCGCCGCGGUAACACCUGCGCCACGAGUGGGGACCACGAUUAUUGGGCCUAAAGCGUCCGUAGCCGGUCAAGUAAAUCUUUUGUGAAAUCAUCGGGCUUAACUCGAUGUCGUGCAGGAGACACUGCUUGACUAGGAACCGGGAGGAGUUAGAAGUAUGCUGGGGGGAGCGGUAAAAUGCUAUAAUCCCCAGUAGACUACCUGUGGCAGAGGCGUCUGACCAGAACGGAUUCGACGGUGAGGGACGAGAGCUAGGGGAGCGAACCGGAUUAGAUACCCGAGUAGUCCUAGCUGUAAACCCUGCGAGCUAGGUGUUACAUAUCCGUUUAGGAUAUGUAGUG
Molecule: ribosomal RNA, 644 nt
Filed under: uncultured archaeon
Lineage: Archaea
Description: bacterial SSU rRNA
Rfam family: Archaeal small subunit ribosomal RNA
Source: RNAcentral